RNAcentral lists this long non-coding RNA (1097 nucleotides) under Salvia miltiorrhiza (redroot sage). RNAcentral describes it as "long non-coding RNA (SMIL_LNC006475)". The record is from RNAcentral. Lineage: Eukaryota; Viridiplantae; Streptophyta; Magnoliopsida; Lamiales; Lamiaceae.
CCCCUCCCUUCGAGGUACCGCCGCCGCCGCCGCCAUCUCCCCUUCGCGGCACUUCCAAGUUCUUCUCUGAGGUUAAUGUGGCUGACAAUCUCCAGUCAUCACUAAAGGUGGAUGACUAUGUGGUCGAACAAGUUGAACCUGAAAGCUCAACACGCAACCACGACUCUAUUUUCCUUGCGAAUUUGAAAGAUCCUGGAAAUUGGGGAAAUGUUGAUCAAAAGACAAUGGAUUACUUAGUUGAAAACUUGAAAUGAGUCCUCAAAAAGUUGAAGGCAUAGUGUAUCCUGUCAAUGAAAAUGGUAGGCACUUAAUUUGAUUCAUCAUAGUAUACAAGGAUAUUGCCAAAUGGACAAAAAUAUGAUCGAAGAUGGCUAGUUUAUUCAACUACUUUGGACCUAAUCUUUUAUUUUUGUCGUAAGUUGUUUAUAACUCAACAAACAGUCAAUAAGAUCGGGAUGCUAGCUACUGAGGGAUUGUGCAACUACAAAUUGAUAAGGAAAAACAACAUUGGAAAAAAGUGUUGAGAAGAAUAAUUAUAAUUGUGAAGCGACUAGCUAAAAACAAUUUACCUUUUCAAGGAGAUAGUGGAAAACUUUUUGUUGAGAAUAAUGGCUUGUUUUUGCAAAUGAUAGAAAUGAUGGUCGAGGUUGAUCCAGUACUACAGGAGCAUGCACGGCGAGCUGAAGCACAUGAAAUAAGGUGUACAUACUUCAGUCAUAAAAUUCAAAAUAAAUUUAUACAGCUUUUAGCAGGUGAAGUUAGAAGUGUGAUACUAAAAAAUGUGAAACAUGCAAAAUAUUAUUCAAUCAUACUUUACUGUACUCCAGAUGCAAGCCAUGAGGAACAUGUGUCUUUAGUUAUACGAUGUGUGGAUGAUUCCACAAACUUACCAACUUUAGAAGAAUUUUGGAUUGAAUUUUUGAAGGUGGAUGAUACUACCGAACUCGGACUUUCAACAGAGUUAAUCAAUACACUUGAAAAACUUGAUCUGGAUGUGAAUGAUAUAAGAGGUCAAGGAUAUGACAAUGGAUCAAACAUGAGUGGAAGACAUAAAGGUGUACAAAGAAGAUUAAUCGAGUUGAAUCCAAGAGCAUUUU